Molecule: ribosomal RNA, 468 nt
Filed under: uncultured bacterium
Lineage: Bacteria
Description: partial 16S ribosomal RNA
Rfam family: Bacterial small subunit ribosomal RNA
Source: RNAcentral
GACGAACGCUGGCGGCGUGCUUAACACAUGCAAGUCGAACGGAAAGGCCCUGCUUUUGUGGGGUGCUCGAGUGGCGAACGGGUGAGUAACACGCGAGUAACCUGCCCUUGACUUUGGGAUAACUUCAGGAAACUGGGGCUAAUACCGGAUAGGAGCUCCUGCUGCAUGGUGGGGGUUGGAAAGUUUCGGCGGUUGGGGCUGGACUCGCGGCUUAUCAGCUUGUUGGUGGGGUAGUGGCUUACCAAGGCUUUGACGGGUAGCCGGCCUGAGAGGGUGACCGGCCACAUUGGGACUGAGGUACGGCCCAGACUCCUACGGGAGGCAGCAGUGGGGAAUAUUGCACAAUGGGCGGAAGCCUGAUGCAGCAACGCCGCGUGCGGGAUGACGGCCUUCGGGUUGUAAACCGCUUUCGCCUGUGACGAAGCGUGAGUGACGGUAAUGGGUAAAGAAGCACCGGCUAACUACGUG